This 160-nucleotide ribosomal RNA is filed under the name uncultured bacterium. Its description in RNAcentral is "partial 16S ribosomal RNA". It matches the Rfam family "Bacterial small subunit ribosomal RNA", at positions 611 to 770 of the family's 1533-position model. The record is from RNAcentral.
AACCGGUGUAUUGCAUUGCAAACUGGGAGACUUGAGUGCAGAAGAGGAGAGUGGAACUCCAUGUGUAGCGGUGAAAUGCGUAGAUAUAUGGAAGAACACCAGUGGCGAAGGCGGCUCUCUGGUCUGUAACUGACGCUGAGGUUCGAAAGCGUGGGUAGCA